GGCCCUCAGCACAGGAAAGACAUAGACCAGUUGGAGCGGGUCCAGAGGAGGGCCACAAAAAUGAUCAGAAGGAUGGAACACCUCUCCUAUGAAGAAAGGCUGAGAGAGUUGGGGUUGUUCAGCC
Aquila chrysaetos chrysaetos is the source of this 124-nucleotide long non-coding RNA. RefSeq lists it as uncharacterized. The record is from RefSeq and is a predicted model, not a curated record. NCBI's taxonomy places the organism in Eukaryota, Metazoa, Chordata, Aves, Accipitriformes, Accipitridae. The transcript has 3 exons.